RNAcentral lists this ribosomal RNA (463 nucleotides) under uncultured bacterium. RNAcentral describes it as "partial 16S ribosomal RNA". It matches the Rfam family "Bacterial small subunit ribosomal RNA", at positions 28 to 507 of the family's 1533-position model. The record is from RNAcentral.
GACGAACGCUGGCGGCGUGCUUAACACAUGCAAGUCGAACGGAAAGGCCUUUUCGGAGGUACUCGAGUGGCGAACGGGUGAGUAACACGUGGGUGAUCUGCCCUGCACUCUGGGUUAAGCCUGGGAAACUGGGUCUAAUACCGGAUAGGACCGCACUUUAGUGUGUGUGGUGGAAAGUUUUUUCGGUGUAGGAUGAGCCCGCGGCCUAUCAGCUUGUUGGUGGGGUAAUGGCCUACCAAGGCGGCGACGGGUAGCCGGACUGAGAGGUUGGUCGGCCACAUUGGGACUGAGAUACGGCCCAGACUCCUACGGGAGGCAGCAGUGGGGAAUAUUGCACAAUGGGCGCAAGCCUGAUGCAGCGACGCCGCGUGGGGGAUGACGGCCUUCGGGUUGUAAACUCCUUUCGCCAGGGACGAAGCGUUUUGUGACGGUACCUGGAGAAGAAGCACCGGCUAACUACGUG